Molecule: ribosomal RNA, 466 nt
Filed under: Vreelandella stevensii
Lineage: Bacteria; Pseudomonadati; Pseudomonadota; Gammaproteobacteria; Oceanospirillales; Halomonadaceae
Description: partial 16S ribosomal RNA
Rfam family: Bacterial small subunit ribosomal RNA
Source: RNAcentral
CCUACGGGCGGCAGCAGUGGGGAAUAUUGGACAAUGGGGGCAACCCUGAUCCAGCCAUGCCGCGUGUGUGAAGAAGGCCCUCGGGUUGUAAAGCACUUUCAGUGAGGAAGAACGCCUGGUGGUUAAUACCCAUCAGGAAAGACAUCACUCACAGAAGAAGCACCGGCUAACUCCGUGCCAGCAGCCGCGGUAAUACGGAGGGUGGCGAGCGUUAAUCGGAAUUACUGGGCGUAAAGCGCGCGUAGGUGGCUUGAUAAGCCGGUUGUGAAAGCCCCGGGCUCAACCUGGGAACGGCAUCCGGGACUGGCAAGCUUGGGGGCAGGGAGGGGAGGUAGGAUUCCCGGGGGAGCGGGGAAAAUGGGAGGGGUCGGGAGGAAAACCAGGGGCGAAGGCGGCCUUCUGGACUGACACUGACACUGAGGUGCGAAAGCGUGGGUAGCAAACAGGAUUAGAUACCCUUGUAGUC